Molecule: unclassified non-coding RNA, 216 nt
Filed under: Hevea brasiliensis (rubber tree)
Lineage: Eukaryota; Viridiplantae; Streptophyta; Magnoliopsida; Malpighiales; Euphorbiaceae
Source: RNAcentral
UGUAGCAACAUUAUACGUCUUUUCCUCAAACAACACUGCAAUUUCCGUAAGUUCCUGUACAUUCUGAUGCCAAAAGACAGGAAAAAUCCUCUGAAUUUCCUCCAAUAUUUGGUUGACAAUCCUUUGACGAGUAUAGGGCGCAUGUCCAAUACGCCAAUCACUGGAAUGCACAUUUCCGGCGGCAGCUCCAGCACCUAAACCACCUUCCCAAGUCUG